CUUAAUAUUUCCUUAAACGCUCAGGUUCUGCUUCUUCUCCUUCAGGAUCAUCUUCUCCUUCUUCGUUGUUGAUUAGUGGUGGUGGAUAUGAUGGAGAGAUUGAACAAGGAGGUGUGACGCAUCAUUCUCCGACUCAGGUUUUGAAAAACUUCGAUGAGAUUCGGUUUCUUCGAAUCGAGCUUCCUAGUGGUGAAUUAGGGAUUGAUGAUGGUGUUUUAUUGAAAUGGAGAGCUGAAUUUGGUUCUACUCUUGAGAAUUGUGUCAUUUCUUAAAUAAUCAAAGAUGUAUAAUUUUGGGCCCGGCCUCUGAUAAGUCAUGCCAUAGAAACCGAGGAAUUUGAUUCUUUAGCAGAUCCCAAGCUUGGAGGAAACUAUGUCGAAUCUGAAAUGUUUAGAAUGAUUGAAGCAGCGGAGCCUGCGUACGCCAUUUAGCUACCAAGAGACCUCGAAUGGGACAAAUUGUGAGAGCUUUUGAAAGUUUAGCUGCGGAAGACCUCACCAACGGAAUGAGACUAGGCGAAAGCGAGGUCUUUAACUCAGCUCAACAGUCAGCAGAGAUCAGAUUGUUUAGAAGAAUGGCAUUUGGUAGCCAAAACUACAGUACAGAUUUUUUCACACAUAGUAGUUACAAUAGCAGAGACGAAAACGUGUAAAUAUCAUACACACAUUGUUUUUUUUUUCUCCCGCCAUUAGUGGCAACAACCCAUCAAGAAUAUCCCAGUUUUGUCUCAAAAACUGACCAUCUUUCGCGACUCAAACCCGCACAUCCUGUUCAUAUCAACGCAGAACCUUCUCCGAGUGCUUGAAACAAAACAGAGGAUUACGGAGGAGCUAAAGGUUGAACAGAAAGAUGAGAAAAAAAAGGAUAGAUGGGUAAAUACUUAUGUUCUAGCACAUGAGAGGCUUUGUUUCUUACAUGAGAUUGCUUUUGUAUCUAUUUUUUUAAUACUUAUACGUUCAGGUUUGUACAUUCCGUGACAUUACUUAUGAUAAAUCAAUAAGGCUCAA
Molecule: long non-coding RNA, 1007 nt
Organism: Arabidopsis lyrata subsp. lyrata
Lineage: Eukaryota; Viridiplantae; Streptophyta; Magnoliopsida; Brassicales; Brassicaceae
Exons: 4
Source: RefSeq, a predicted model, not a curated record